Molecule: ribosomal RNA, 253 nt
Filed under: uncultured bacterium
Lineage: Bacteria
Description: partial 16S ribosomal RNA
Rfam family: Bacterial small subunit ribosomal RNA
Source: RNAcentral
UACAGAGGUCUCAAGCGUUGUUCGGAUUCAUUGGGCGUAAAGGGUGCGUAGGUGGCGCUGUAAGUCAGAUGUGAAAUUUCGGAGCUUAACUCCGAAACUGCAUUUGAUACUGCGGUGCUUGAGGACUGGAGAGGAGAUUGGAAUUCACGGUGUAGCAGUGAAAUGCGUAGAUAUCGUGAGGAAGACCAGUGGCGAAGGCGGAUCUCUGGACAGUUCCUGACACUGAGGCCCGAAGGCCAGGGGAGCAAACGGG